GGUCAAGGUCAUGCUGUGGUUGGCUUCAUGGGGCCCCUGGGCCUGCUGAUCUGGGUCCUGGGCUGUGGCUGGAGAGGGUUUCUUGAGAAGGGGAUGGGGCUGUCUUCAAUCCAUCCUAGAAAAGUAAAUGCACAUACAGUCAGAGCUAAGAAGAGCUCUUGCCCCUCCUGUCACUGUAGUCCCAAGUUCCUUGCUAACAGUCACCGCUUACAGGUUGCAUUGGAAAAGCCAAUCCUUUCUUCCCCAGGUAGUGGAGUUCCUCCCAUCCCUGGAUGCCUUCUUUCAGGUUCCUUACCCAGAGCUGGGCCAGAAUGACAUGAUACUGGGCCACCUGUCCGGGAUCCACAAACAGACAGGAGAAGUUGGUACUUAGUAGGGAGGGGCUCAGUUCCUCCAGCACCAAGGCCCUGUGUAGCCAGGUGCUUGCGUUCCUCUGCUCCCGGCUAGAGCAGCAGAAGGAAAUCAUGAGAGGGUUGCAGGGGCUGGGGGGGGGGGGGGGGCUUUCUUCCGCUAGCCUAACUGAUGGCCCUUACCUUGUGUGGCCCUCCCUCAGCCGGCCUGGGAGGUGCUCAAUGAAGGAGCCAUUGCCCAGCCAGUAGAGGAUGCUGAAGU
Molecule: long non-coding RNA, 612 nt
Filed under: Rattus norvegicus (Norway rat)
Lineage: Eukaryota; Metazoa; Chordata; Mammalia; Rodentia; Muridae
Description: long non-coding RNA NONRATT001052
Source: RNAcentral